UACCGCAUAAUGUCUUCGGACCAAAGAGGGGGAUCUUCGGACCUCUCGCGUCAAGAUUAGCCCAGGUGAGAUUAGCUAGUUGGUGGGGUAAGAGCUCACCAAGGCGACGAUCUCUAGCUGGUCUGAGAGGAUGAUCAGCCACACUGGAACUGAGACACGGUCCAGACUCCUACGGGAGGCAGCAGUGGGGAAUAUUGCACAAUGGGCGAAAGCCUGAUGCAGCCAUGCCGCGUGUAUGAAGAAGGCCUUCGGGUUGUAAAGUACUUUCAGUCGUGAGGAAGGGUGUGUAGUUAAUAGCUGCACAUCUUGACGUUAGCGACAGAAGAAGCACCGGCUAACUCCGUGCCAGCAGCCGCGGUAAUACGGAGGGUGCGAGCGUUAAUCGGAAUUACUGGGCGUAAAGCGCAUGCAGGUGGUUCAUUAAGUCAGAUGUGAAAGCCCGGGGCUCAACCUCGGAACCGCAUUUGAAACUGGUGAACUAGAGUGCUGUAGAGGGGGGUAGAAUUUCAGGUGUAGCGGUGAAAUGCGUAGAGAUCUGAAGGAAUACCAGUGGCGAAGGCGGCCCCCU
Molecule: ribosomal RNA, 568 nt
Filed under: Aliivibrio sp. s_17-1
Lineage: Bacteria; Pseudomonadati; Pseudomonadota; Gammaproteobacteria; Vibrionales; Vibrionaceae
Description: bacterial SSU rRNA
Rfam family: Bacterial small subunit ribosomal RNA
Source: RNAcentral